RNAcentral lists this unclassified non-coding RNA (319 nucleotides) under rhizosphere metagenome. RNAcentral describes it as "partial ribosomal RNA internal transcribed spacer region". The record is from RNAcentral.
GUAGGUGAACCUGCGGAAGGAUCAUUAUCAAUUAUUGCUGCUUUUAAUUAAGUAGUUUAAUUUUUGUGCACUGUUUUUUUUUUUUUUUCUUCUUGUAUUCUUUUUUUAAUUUUUUAUUUUGAGUGAGUAAAUCGUUAAGCUUGGCUUAGCGUUCAACUCACUUGUAAAGAAAUGGAAUAAAAAAAAAAGGUACUUGGUUUAAAAAAAAAAAGAAAAAUUGAUUUUCUUUAUAUUAUUUUUCUUUACUUAGUUGUAACGUUAACUCGUUAUAAAUAAUUAAAUAAAAAGACAACUUUCAGCAAUGGAUCUCUUGGCUCUU